AACGAACGCUGGCGGCAGGCCUAAAACAUGCAAGUCGAACGCUCUAGCAAUAGAGAGUGGCGCACGGGUGAGUAACACGUGGGAAUGUGCCUUUUGGUACGGAACAACUUUUGGAAACGAAAGCUAAUACCGUAUGGUCCCUUCGGGGUAAAGAUUUAUCGCCAAAAGAGCAGCCCGCGUCUGAUUAGCUAGUUGGUGAGGUAAUGGCUCACCAAGGCGACGAUCAGUAGCNGGUCUGAGAGGACGAUCAGCCACACUGGGACUGAGACACGGCCCAGACUCCUACGGGAGGCAGCAGUGGGGAAUAUUGGACAAUGGGCGCAAGCCUGAUCCAGCGAUGCCGCGUGUGUGAAGAAGGCCUGCGGGUUGUAAAGCACUUUUCAGUAGGGAAGAAAAGCCGAGUGCUAAUAUCAUUCGGUCUUGACGUUACUUACAGAAGAGCACC
RNAcentral lists this ribosomal RNA (445 nucleotides) under uncultured bacterium. Its description in RNAcentral is "bacterial SSU rRNA". It matches the Rfam family "Bacterial small subunit ribosomal RNA", at positions 29 to 494 of the family's 1533-position model. The record is from RNAcentral.